GAUGAAGAACGUAGCGAAAUGCGAUAAGUAAUGUGAAUUGCAGAAUUCAGUGAAUCAUCGAAUCUUUGAACGCACCUUGCGCCUUUUGGUAUUCCGAAAGGCACACCUGUUUGAGCGUCAUGAAUACCUCAAUCUCCAUCUUUUCUUCGGAUUGAUGGGUGACUUGGAUGUUGAGCCCUGCUGGUAUGCUAUAUCAGCUGGCUUUAAACUUAUUAGCCGGCUCUGUACUGGAUCGGUUUGACUCGACGUGAUAAUAUUAUCGUUGAGGAUGCCUGUCUCAUGCAGCCGGAAAGUAUCAAAGCAGCUUCUAGCUUGCCUUUAGUGCACUUUUACAUUUUAGACCUCAGAUCAGGUGGGACUACCCGCUGAACUUAAGCAUAUCAAUAAGCGGAGGA
RNAcentral lists this unclassified non-coding RNA (395 nucleotides) under soil metagenome. RNAcentral describes it as "partial contains 5.8S ribosomal RNA, internal transcribed spacer 2, and large subunit ribosomal RNA". The stretch from base 1 to 120 matches the Rfam family "5.8S ribosomal RNA", at positions 35 to 154 of the family's 154-position model. The record is from RNAcentral.